Molecule: unclassified non-coding RNA, 139 nt
Filed under: uncultured Dothideomycetes
Lineage: Eukaryota; Fungi; Ascomycota; Dothideomycetes
Description: sequence contains ITS2
Source: RNAcentral
CGACCUCGAGCGUAGCUUGGUGUUGAGGGCUGUCGCCUCGGCGGCACUCUUUAAAAGCAUUGGCGGCAGCGCAGCUCAAUCGCAACAAAAUGCGUGCAAAGCAGCCAACUGCCCGCCAAAAUUUUUACUAUAUUUACCA